RNAcentral lists this ribosomal RNA (460 nucleotides) under uncultured bacterium. RNAcentral describes it as "partial 16S ribosomal RNA". It matches the Rfam family "Bacterial small subunit ribosomal RNA", at positions 338 to 795 of the family's 1533-position model. The record is from RNAcentral.
CCUACGGGGGGCAGCAGUGAGGAAUAUUGGUCAAUGGACGAGAGUCUGAACCAGCCAAGUAGCGUGAAGGAUUACUGCCCUAUGGGUUGUAAACUUCUUUUAUAUGGGAAUAAAACGUUCCACGUGUGGGAUUUUGUAUGUACCAUAUGAAUAAGGCUCGGCUAACUCCGUGCCAGCAGCCGCGGUAAUACGGAGGAUCCGAGCGUUAUCCGGAUUUAUUGGGUUUAAAGGGAGCGUAGGUGGAUUGUUAAGUCAGUUGUGAAAGUUUGCGGCUCAACCGUAAAAUUGCAGUUGAAACUGGCAGUCUUGAGUACAGUAGAGGUGGGCGGAAUUCGUGGUGUAGCGGUGAAAUGCUUAGAUAUCACGAAGAACUCCGAUUGCGAAGGCAGUUCACUGGACUGCAACUGACACUGAGGCUCGAAAGUGUGGGUAUCAAACAGGAUUAGAUACCCUGGUAGUC